This 223-nucleotide long non-coding RNA is filed under the name Vigna radiata. Its description in RNAcentral is "long non-coding RNA (VRAD_LNC013900)". Lineage: Eukaryota; Viridiplantae; Streptophyta; Magnoliopsida; Fabales; Fabaceae. The record is from RNAcentral.
AAGGAAUAAAGUUAUAAAAUACCUAAUUUUGCGUGUGUAGAAGAAGAGAAAAUGAUGUUUUUUUUUAAAAGAAACAAAUUUAAUGUAUAUGAAUAUUAUGGGUCUACACAAAUGAACUAGUUGUCAAAACGAGUCAUCUGGUCCGGUCCACCAUGGGUUGAUCACUUAGUGAGUCAACCCAACUUGGUUCAUUUAUUAGCGAGUCAGAAAAAUUUGAACCCGG